Molecule: long non-coding RNA, 355 nt
Organism: Myotis myotis
Lineage: Eukaryota; Metazoa; Chordata; Mammalia; Chiroptera; Vespertilionidae
Exons: 2
Source: RefSeq, a predicted model, not a curated record
GGGCAGCACUGAAAACAAGCACUUGCUGAUGAUGUCAACUGGAUAAUGUUGUCUCUGGAAUGGAAGCUCUUAUCUAACAGCAGCAGGAAGAUUGUGGAUAACCACUUGCCAUGCUUAAGAAAGAAUAUUUCAUUAUUCAAGCCACCUGGCAUCCAUUAUCCAGACCACCUGGCAUCUGGGAGAUUACCAUCCGGAGCCAAUCUGUGGGCUAAGAACUGACUAUUUCAAACGUGUGCUUUUCACUGUAAAACCUCUCAAACUUUCCUUUCUCCUUUGUAACGCUGGGUAUUGCCCACCUGUGUUUGUGAUUUGCAAAUCCUAAGACCCUUGAAUAAAUCUUUGUCAUUUACUUUUA